UUUAUACUCCCUCCACCCCAAAAUUCUUGUCUUAAAUUUGUCUAAUACGGAUGUAUUAAGUCACAUUUUAGUAUUAGAUACAUCCGUAUCUAGACUAAUCUAAGACAACAAUUUUAGGACGGAGGGACUACUAA
This is a non-coding RNA of Triticum aestivum (bread wheat), 134 nucleotides long. The record is from Rfam. Lineage: Eukaryota; Viridiplantae; Streptophyta; Magnoliopsida; Poales; Poaceae.